This 231-nucleotide ribosomal RNA is filed under the name uncultured bacterium. Its description in RNAcentral is "partial 16S ribosomal RNA". It matches the Rfam family "Bacterial small subunit ribosomal RNA", at positions 118 to 350 of the family's 1533-position model. The record is from RNAcentral.
UGAGUAACCUGCCCUGGACUUUGGGAUAACCAUCGGAAACGGGGGCUAAUACCGGAUAUGACGGCUCACCGCAUGGUGUGGUUGUGGAAAGUUUUUCGGUCUGGGAUGGGCUCGCGGCCUAUCAGCUUGUUGGUGGGGUGAUGGCCUACCAAGGCGACGACGGGUAGCCGGCCUGAGAGGGCGACCGGCCACACUGGGACUGAGACACGGCCCAGACUCCUACGGGAGGCA